Long non-coding RNA from Dermochelys coriacea (leatherback sea turtle), 2283 nucleotides. RefSeq lists it as uncharacterized. The transcript has 3 exons. NCBI's taxonomy places the organism in Eukaryota, Metazoa, Chordata, Testudines, Dermochelyidae. The record is from RefSeq and is a predicted model, not a curated record.
GAAGCAAUAUGCAGCUGACUGAAGUUGACUGUGGCUAAAAAGGAGUGCUGUAAAGAUGACUACAUUAAAUCAAGAGAUUGCUAGUCCCAAUUAGUGCAGCUGCCAUUUCAGAACUUUCACUGAUAUAAAGAGAUGCCAGAACUCAAAGGUAUUUCAAAAUAUUCUAAAACAAGAUUUUUCAAAAACUUCAAGAGAGCUAUGUUUCUCCAACCAUUUCAAAAUUACCUCUUGGUAAUAUAACAGAUUAAAAAUGCUAAAUUACAAUAGAUAUCAUGGAACUAACAAGCUAACUAAUCAACCAAAGCCAGACAAAAACCUGUUUUCUGUUGCAUUCUCCUAUCUGUAUUUUGUCUACAUGAAAGUUCUUUGGGGCAGAGAUCUAUCUUGCUAUAUAUCCAAAGUUUUAGAAUGGUUUUGGGUGACUGAUAACUCAAAGAAUAAAAAUCUAAUAAUUCAGUCUCAAAAACGAGACGUCAGUAGCUCUAGAAUGUGAUGCAUUUUUCCUUAAGCACUCCACACUAUCUCAGAUUUUAAAACAAAACUUCCCAACUGUUUGGACUAUUUGCAGAACCUUCAGUUUUGGCAUUACACAUAAAUGCUGCUAGUAGUUGGUGGUAGACCAAAAAAAACACCCACAACACCACAUCUAGAUCCUCAGCUACCAGUCAAAUCCUCUAAAAGUGGAUGCAACUUUGGUUGCGUCUCUCAGAACCUGUCUAAAUCCUGAACUGUUGUUAUUUAGUGGCUUGAGAUAGAGGGCAUGAGACUAUAAAGCAUCACACACAAGUACUCAAACUUAAGCUGAAUGGAGAUACUUUUCGCCAUAUAAACGAGCUAAAUCAGAAGUUGCCCAAGAGCUUCUCUAAAAGGGAGCAAUCUGAGAUUGGAUACAUUUAUGGUACUGUGAGAAUCUUUCAUGGAAGAGUCACUGUCAUUUCCCUGCAGACCAGAUACACCUAGUGCAUGGGCAGGUUACAUAAAUGAUCCUGAAUUUUCUGCUGGAAAAGUAAAAACUUAAGUAGCAUUCCUACUUCUGAAAUCAAUCCACACAGCUCAUAUGAUUUUUGCCAUCUCUCCAGCUCCAAGAAUCUUCUCCAAAUCCUUGAAGAACAAACACUAACACUUCACUCUAUACACUGAAGUCACAGAGUUGAUGGCAACACACCACCACUCUGUAAGCAAUUUUUCUGUGUAGUGGUACAUUAUUCAACAUUUGGUCUUGUAGUUAGAACCAUACAUAAUAUUUGCCUCCAAAAGCAGCUUUCAGCAACACCGGAUGACUCAAUUUGUCAUUCUUAUAUUGUUGUUCAAAGUCUUAAUUCUAUACUUAAUUCAAAAGCACCGAUAUAACACUCCCUAUUUCAAGCAGUAAUCACAUACCCAUCUCCGAGUUCUCUAUAUUUCUGUUCACUGAUGCCUGAUGAAUCUUACAUGCUAAAAAGAGAAGAGUGCAUCUUCUCUCACAACUAGAGAAUAAAAUAUUCUGACAAGGUUUUACUACCCAAAUUGAUUUUUCACAAAGUGAGAAAUAUGAGGAAUACGAACAUUCAAUUUUAGAAACCAAAGGCAACACAGGCAAUAUUUCAAAGGUAACAUGGGCAUUUUUAAACAUUUCUUCAAGAUAAAGAUAGCAUACAAAAAUGUAUGUGAUAAAAAGACCGGUAGGAAAGUUACAUUUGAGGGAACUUGGAACAGGACAGAAAAUCUUAAAGAAAAAAAAAACUGAAAAUUUGGAAAAAAGAAUUUCAUUUCCAUUGCCUUAUUGCGUCUUAACCUGAACAUUACUCUCAAUUUAACGAGAGGCUUCAACAUCAGAACAACUUUUCAAAAGAACGUCUGUAAGUGAAGCAGAGUGGUCUCCCACGGACCUAGAGAACGGUGGGGGAGGACCACCACCAACCUGCUAUGAUGUUUAACAGUAUUAAGAAACCCAAAUGAUUGAACAAGUCAUUUUCUGUAUUCUUUUUUCUAUUUAUUGAAAAAAAUGUGUUUGACUACACCUUCCAGGCAACAUGGUUCUCCGGUGAUCAUUUACCAACAGUCUGUUGCUAUGUAAAAAUAAGUGAAAUCACAAAUUCACCAUUAUAAUUUCCCUGAAGCUUGAAAUAUAGAAACAGAUAGUCUUCCCGUUUGCAGACCGUCUCAAACGUCUCAUAAAAAUUAGUAAAAUGUGAGAACACAUGAAAAAGAAAUAGACAUGGAAAAUUCCAUUCUCAAGUCCAAGUUCUCUCUGUUAAACUUGGAGACACUAUACACCCUCAGCACAUUUAACAAUUCAAUAAA